RNAcentral lists this ribosomal RNA (497 nucleotides) under uncultured bacterium. Its description in RNAcentral is "partial 16S ribosomal RNA". It matches the Rfam family "Bacterial small subunit ribosomal RNA", at positions 28 to 507 of the family's 1533-position model. The record is from RNAcentral.
GAUGAACGCUGGCGGCGUGCCUAAUACAUGCAAGUCGAGCGAACAGACGAGGAGCUUGCUCCUCUGACGUUAGCGGCGGACGGGUGAGUAACACGUGGAUAACCUACCUAUAAGACUGGGAUAACUUCGGGAAACCGGAGCUAAUACCGGAUAAUAUAUUGAACCGCAUGGUUCAAUAGUGAAAGACGGUUUUGCUGUCACUUAUAGAUGGAUCCGCGCCGCAUUAGCUAGUUGGUAAGGUAACGGCUUACCAAGGCAACGAUGCGUAGCCGACCUGAGAGGGUGAUCGGCCACACUGGAACUGAGACACGGUCCAGACUCCUACGGGAGGCAGCAGUAGGGAAUCUUCCGCAAUGGGCGAAAGCCUGACGGAGCAACGCCGCGUGAGUGAUGAAGGUCUUCGGAUCGUAAAACUCUGUUAUUAGGGAAGAACAAAUGUGUAAGUAACUAUGCACGUCUUGACGGUACCUAAUCAUAAAGCCACGGCUAACUACGUG